GGGUGAUUUGGCUGCCACAUCUGUCACCCUAUUGAUUGCCAGGGUUGAUUUGGCUGAUCUGGCUGGCUAGGUGGGUGUCCCCUUCCUCCCUGCGCACCCCUCCUGAAGCUGCACGCUCGGUUGGAUAGGAUGACCUUCCCCGAAUAGAGGAGGAGCGGUCUCCGGUCAAGGGUGUACAAGCAGCUGCGCACCCUGGCUAGAGCCUCCAGACAAGCUCUCAAGGUCCAUCUUGUUUUUUGAGUGAAUAAUAUUUUGUUGUCCAGCCUCCAUCUAUUUUUUCUAAUUGGAUCACUGUUGUUAACAGAAUUACUUUC
Molecule: small nuclear RNA, 314 nt
Filed under: Jaculus jaculus (lesser Egyptian jerboa)
Lineage: Eukaryota; Metazoa; Chordata; Mammalia; Rodentia; Dipodidae
Description: 7SK RNA (ENSJJAG00000009422.1)
Rfam family: 7SK RNA
About the family: 7SK was discovered as an abundant small nuclear RNA in the mid-70s but a possible function has only recently been suggested. Two independent studies have found that 7SK RNA binds the CDK9/cyclin T complex (known as elongation factor P-TEFb). P-TEFb activates transcription by phosphorylating the C-terminal domain of RNA polymerase II.
Source: RNAcentral